RNAcentral lists this ribosomal RNA (207 nucleotides) under uncultured bacterium. RNAcentral describes it as "partial 16S ribosomal RNA". It matches the Rfam family "Bacterial small subunit ribosomal RNA", at positions 568 to 774 of the family's 1533-position model. The record is from RNAcentral.
CGCGUAGGCGGCCUUCUAAGUCAGACGUGAAAUCCCCCCGGCUUAACCUGGGAACUGCGUCUGAUACUGGAAGGCUUGAAUGCGGGAGAGGGAUGUAGAAUUCCAGGUGUAGCGGUGAAAUGCGUAGAUAUCUGGAGGAAUACCGGUGGCGAAGGCGGCAUCCUGGACCGACAUUGACGCUGAGGCGCGAAAGCUAGGUAGCAAACG